Suncus etruscus (white-toothed pygmy shrew) is the source of this 103-nucleotide small nuclear RNA. The record is from RefSeq and is a predicted model, not a curated record. Lineage: Eukaryota; Metazoa; Chordata; Mammalia; Eulipotyphla; Soricidae.
AUAUGCUAACUCUAAAUUUAUAGCCAUAAAGAUUAACAUGAGAAGAGUAACAUGGCCCCUGCGCAAGGAUGACACGCAAAUUCAUGAAGUGUUCCAUAUUAAA